RNA transcript from Xenopus laevis (African clawed frog), 3089 nucleotides. It is a transcript of the gene named sorbin and SH3 domain-containing protein 2, with no coding region annotated. Lineage: Eukaryota; Metazoa; Chordata; Amphibia; Anura; Pipidae. The transcript is spliced from 2 exons. The record is from RefSeq and is a predicted model, not a curated record.
GGCUAAUCUAUGCACAGCCCAAAUUUCACAAAGCUCGUCUAGUGCCUUAUAGUAUUCGUCCAAAAGUGGAAGCAGAAUUGGAUCGUCUAGAACAAGAUGGAGUAAUUUCAAAAGUCUCUUGGAGUGACUGGGGCACACCUAUUGUGCCUAUUAUAAAAAGGGAUGGUUCAGUUAGAAUAUGUGGAGAUUUUAAAGUUUCCAUUAACCCAGUUCUACAGUCUGAUAAGUAUCCCUUACCUUUGAUUGAGGAUAUAUUUGCCUCUCUUGCGGGUGGACUAAAAUUCAGCAAAAUUGAUCUUGCUCAAGCCUACUUACAAAUGGAGGUAGUGGAAAAUGCCAAACACUACCUUACAAUCAACACGCCAAAAGGACUAUACCGAUACAACAGAUUAGUAUUUGGCGUGGCCUCGGCACCUGCCAUAUGGCAAAGAGCCAUGGAUCAAGUUCUACAAGGCAUUCCACAUACUAAAUGUUAUCUGGAUGACAUAAUUGUGACAGGCACAGAUGAUACAGAAUAUUUGGAAAACCUAAAGAGGGUUCUAACACGGCUGGAAGAAUAUGGGCUAAGAGCCAACAAAGAAAAAUGUGCCUUCUUUAAGGACUCUAUACAAUAUUGUGGACAUAUUAUAGAUGCCAAUGGCUUGCACAAGUCUCCAGAGAAAAUCCAAGCAGUGUUACAAGCACCACUGCCCAAGGAUGUAACACAGCUCAGAUCGUUUUUGGGAUUUAUUAAUUAUUACAGCCGGUUUGUUCCAAAUCUUGCAACUGUGCUAUACCCAUUAAAUCAAUUGCUGCAGAAAGGUCAAAAAUGGGAGUGGACUGUACAGUGUGACAAAGCCUUCAAGGAAGCAAAGACAUUGGUCACGUCUGAUGAUGUCCUUGUGCAUUUCAAUGCUUCCUUGCCAUUAAAACUGGCAUGUGAUGCUUCCCCAUAUGGCAUUGGAGCUGUGAUAUCUCAUGUUCUCCCAGACAAAAGUGAAAGGCCGAUAGCAUUUGCUUCAAGAUCACUCACAAGUGCAGAACGCAACUAUGCACAGAUAGACAAGGAAGCACUUAGCCUUAUCUGCGGAGUGAAAAGAUUUAAUCAAUUUUUAUAUGGCCGGAAGUUUACACUCAUAACAGACCAUCAGCCAUUGGUUGCAAUACUUCAUCCAAAGAAAGGAGUUUCUGCAACAGCUGCUGCACGCAUGCAGCGCUGGGCUUUGUUUCUUGCUGGUUAUGACUAUGAUAUUGAGUUCAAGAGGACAGCUGCACACGCAAAUGCAGAUGGACUGUCACGUCUGCCACUACCAGAUCAAGACAGUUCUGAGGAAAAUUCUGAAUAUGUUAAUGUACAUCAGAUUGAUUGUCUUCCUCUAACCUGUAAAAUGAUUGAGAAUGAAACCAAAAGAGAUCCCACUCUAGCAUGUGUCUAUGAGGCAACUCUUAAAGGCUGGAAGUAUACAGACAAGGCCCCACUAAUUCCUUACUACUCACGUAGACAUGAACUGACCAUACAUGAAGGAUGUGUAAUGUGGGGAGUUCGUGUUGUUAUUCCCACAAAGUUGCAAUCAAGAGUACUAGAUGAGCUGCAUGAAGGCCAUCUAGGCAUAGUAAAAAUGAAGUCACUUGCAAGGAGUUUUGUGUGGUGGCCAGGAAUUGAUCAACAAAUUGAGCAACUAGCAAACAAGUGCAUUGGAUGUCAAGAAGUGCAGUCUAUGCCACAACCAGCUCCAGUUCAUCUGUGGGAAUGGCCCUCUGCUCCUUGGCAACGUAUACACAUUGAUUUUGCUGGACCAUUUCUGGGACUGAUGUUUUUCAUUAUUGUGGAUGCUCAUUCUAAAUGGCCAGAGGUUUUCUGCAUGAAGUCUACUAGUACCUCAUAUACUAUUGAUAUAUUGAGAACCUUGUUUGCAAGAACUGGAAUAUCUGAACAGAUUGUUAGUGAUAAUGGUCCUCAAUUCAUUUCUGAAGAAUUUCAAUUGUUUAUGAAACGCAAUGGAAUUAAACAUUCUACUUCAAAUCCAUACCAUCCUGCAACAAAUGGUUUAGCUGAAAGAUUUGUACAAACUAUGAAACAGUCACUGCGGUCAAUGGCACAUGACAGUGGAUCCCUGCAGCAUAAACUGGCAAGGUUUGUGUUAUCCUAUCGGAAUUCAAUUCAUUCAACUACAAGCUGUACACCUGCAAUGUUAUUUAUGGGCCGCAAUCUUAGGUCUCGGUUAGACUUGCUGAAACCAGAUCUCAAUCGUCAUGUGAGAAACCACCAAUUUAAAAUCAGGGGAGGAGAGAGGAGAACCUUGCGGCAGCUUAGUGUUGGGCAAACCGUCUUGGCAAGGAACUACAGAGGGCCUAAUAAAUGGCUACCAGCAAUUGUCACUGCUCAAAGAGGUCCAUGCAGUUACACCACGGUAAAAGUGGCAGGCAAUCUAUAUUGGCGUCGUCAUAUUGACCAGCUACGUAAUACUGCAGUUACCACUGAGCAAAACCAGACACAAAGCCUUGUUGGAAUUCCCUAUACUAAUAACAACCCCUGCAAGUCCAACCGAAAUGGAGAGUACAUACUCUGAAGCAUCGGUGGUACCUGAUUGUUCCGAGCACCAGUUUCCUUCCAUAGAAGAGGGCAACAUUUCUAGGCGUUACCCACAAAGAGAGCAUCGACCUCCUGAUAGACUUAACUUAUAACUUGUGACUUUUAUUAACCAUUUAUUUUACAGGUGUUACCACCAUGAAUCUUGAUGGGGGAGAGAACUGUUAAAUAUGAGUUAAAGGAAUUGUGCCUGUUGAAUCUGCUGAUGCUGUUCUAGUACUAGAGUCUUAUGUAUAAGGCUUCCUGUUGAAUCUGCUGUUAUGUUUUCUAUGCUACUUUUAUCUUACUAAGUUAUGGAGUUUCCUUCCUGUUAAGCAUUACACAAUUACUCCAGCAGCUACUUGUCUGUGUGUUUCACUAUAUUCCAUGGACACAACAUAUAGGUAAUGGGAUUUGCUGCUUCCAGAUCUUCAUAAAAAUGAAGCUAUAGAGCUAUCGCUACAGCGAGGAACUACUCUCCUUAUACUGAAGAGAGUGGAUAAGAACUGGCUGCUGGGACAACAGGAUGGCCGGAGGGGGC